UACGGAGGGUGCGAGCGUUGUCCGGAAUCACUGGGCUUAAAGGGUGCGUAGGCGGCGCGGAAAGUUGGGUGUGAAAUCCCUCGGCUUAACCGAGGAACGGCGCCCAAAACUACCGUGCUCGAGGGAGAUAGGGACGAGCGGAACUGUGAGUGGAGCGGUGAAAUGCGUUGAUAUUCACAGGAACUCCGGUGGCGAAGGCGGCUCGCUGGAUCUUUUCUGACGCUGAGGCGCGAAAGCUAGGGGAGCAAACAGG
Molecule: ribosomal RNA, 253 nt
Filed under: uncultured bacterium
Lineage: Bacteria
Description: partial 16S ribosomal RNA
Rfam family: Bacterial small subunit ribosomal RNA
Source: RNAcentral